Molecule: small nucleolar RNA, 129 nt
Filed under: Propithecus coquereli (Coquerel's sifaka)
Lineage: Eukaryota; Metazoa; Chordata; Mammalia; Primates; Indriidae
Description: Small nucleolar RNA SNORA25 (ENSPCOG00000005490.1)
Rfam family: Small nucleolar RNA SNORA25
About the family: ACA25 is a member of the H/ACA class of snoRNA that guide the sites of modification of uridines to pseudouridines.
Source: Rfam by way of RNAcentral
AGGUCAUUUCAUAGAGGGCUUGUGAGGCUAUGAAACCAAGAGCUCUUAACAUUAUGACCAAAGAUUGAAGUUCUCCAUAGGAUACCAUAGUCACUCAAUAAUGUCAUGUUAUCCUAAGGAGAUAUAAGG